ACGGGUGAGUAACACUUGGGCAAUCUGCCCUCGAGAGGGAGACAACCUGCCGAAAGGCGGGCUAAUAUCCCGUAAGACCACAGGGUCGCAUGACCUAGAGGUCAAAGCUCCGCAAGGGGCGCUUGAGGAGGAGCCCGAGGCCUAUCAUGGUAGUUGGCGGGGUAACGGCCCACCAAGCCGUUGACGGGUAGCCGGCCUGAAAGGGUGAUCGGCCACACUGGCACUGAGACACGGGCCAGACUCCUACCGGAGGCAGCAGUGGGGAAUUUUGGACAAUGGGGGCAACCCUGAUCCAGCGACGCCGCGUGGAGGACGAAGGUCUUCGGAUUGUAAACUCCUUUUGGAGGGGACGAAUGUCUGCGUGAAAAACGCAGGGUGACGGUACUCUCUGAAUAAGCCACGGCUAACUACGUGCCAGCAGCCGCGG
Molecule: ribosomal RNA, 427 nt
Filed under: uncultured bacterium
Lineage: Bacteria
Description: bacterial SSU rRNA
Rfam family: Bacterial small subunit ribosomal RNA
Source: RNAcentral